CGACAGGAAAGGAACUCACAGAUGAAAUG
This 29-nucleotide non-coding RNA is filed under the name Cricetulus griseus (Chinese hamster). The record is from RNAcentral. Lineage: Eukaryota; Metazoa; Chordata; Mammalia; Rodentia; Cricetidae.